AUGAUCGACUACGGUACGACCACUACGACGACGGCGGCGCGGUCCAGCGGGCGCGGCGCGGGCGGCCAGAGCGCGCCCCGGCAGAGCGGGCACGUCCGGCGCGUCCGGAUCCACCGGUCGGCGUCGCACGCGGCGUGGAAGAAGUGCCCGCACGCAGGCACCACGCGCACCAGCUCCUCGGGCGCCUUGGCGUACUCCGACUGGCAGAAGGCGCAGCAGCGCUGCCGCGCCCUCGCCGCCUCGCCCACCUGCGCGUACGCCACCAGCGUCGCGUCGCCGAGCGCGCGCUCCACGUCCUCAGCGCCGCCGUCGUCCCUGCAGGCGCCCGAGGCGGCGGCGGCGAGGGCGACGAUGAGCAGCGCCAGGGCGACCACCGCCGCCACCUCGAGAUCGAGCGCCAUGGCGGGGCUCAUCUCUUCCUUCCUUCCUCUCUGGCCUGAUCGGUCGAUGGAACGAACGGCAGGGCGCGACGCCAACCUUGUAUGCGCAGUGUGCGUCCUCUUCCAGUCUCCCCUUCCUCCUUGGGCUGACCUCCUUUUGUAG
RNAcentral lists this ribosomal RNA (543 nucleotides) under Triticum aestivum (bread wheat). Its description in RNAcentral is "partial small subunit ribosomal RNA". The record is from RNAcentral. Lineage: Eukaryota; Viridiplantae; Streptophyta; Magnoliopsida; Poales; Poaceae.